GGGCGAUUGGUUUAGUGGUAUAACGUCUGUUUUGCAUUAUCGUGAAUACAGAAGGUCGGGAUUUCGAUUAUCCCAUCGUCCA
This is a non-coding RNA of Coccidioides immitis RMSCC 2394, 82 nucleotides long. The record is from Rfam. NCBI's taxonomy places the organism in Eukaryota, Fungi, Ascomycota, Eurotiomycetes, Onygenales, Onygenaceae.